RNAcentral lists this long non-coding RNA (229 nucleotides) under Homo sapiens (human). Its description in RNAcentral is "non-protein coding lnc-FSCN2-1:9". The record is from RNAcentral. Lineage: Eukaryota; Metazoa; Chordata; Mammalia; Primates; Hominidae.
AGGCCGGGAAGCUGGGACUUGAGCUGGUCUGCAUUCGGGCAAGGCACAGCCCCCCACCAGCACCUUAUGAUUUCACAGAAGACAAAAGCCAGCAGACUGUGUGGGCUGUCUGCCCUGAGAGUUCCAAGGCGAGGCUCCGGAGCAGCCAGCCGUGAACCCCAACUGCAGUUCGGGAAGCUGCUUUCGGGGAGGGGCAGGGAGGGGAGGGGGAUUCUCGGAGCAGGCAGGC